This 574-nucleotide ribosomal RNA is filed under the name uncultured bacterium. RNAcentral describes it as "partial 16S ribosomal RNA". It matches the Rfam family "Bacterial small subunit ribosomal RNA", at positions 355 to 922 of the family's 1533-position model. The record is from RNAcentral.
UGGGGAAUUUUGGACAAUGGGCGAAAGCCUGAUCCAGCAAUGCCGCGUGUGUGAAGAAGGCCUUCGGGUUGUAAACCGCUUUUGUCAGGGAAGAAAUCUUCUGAGUUAAUACCUCGGGAGGAUGACGGUACCUGAAGAAUAAGCACCGGCUAACUACGUGCCAGCAGCCGCGGUAAUACGUAGGGUGCAAGCGUUAAUCGGAAUUACUGGGCGUAAAGCGUGCGCAGGCGGUUUUGUAAGACAGAGGUGAAAUCCCCGGGCUCAACCUGGGAACUGCCUUUGUGACUGCAAGGCUUGAGUGCGGCAGAGGGGGAUGGAAUUCCGCGUGUAGCAGUGAAAUGCGUAGAUAUGCGGAGGAACACCGAUGGCGAAGGCAAUCCCCUGGGCCUGCACUGACGCUCAUGCACGAAAGCGUGGGGAGCAAACAGGAUUAGAUACCCUGGUAGUCCACGCCCUAAACGAUGUCAACUGGUUGUUGGGAAGGUUCCUUCUCAGUAACGUAGCUAACGCGUGAAGUUGACCGCCUGGGGAGUACGGCCGCAAGGUUGAAACUUAAAGGAAUUGACGGGGGUCA